Molecule: non-coding RNA, 47 nt
Organism: Picea glauca (white spruce)
Lineage: Eukaryota; Viridiplantae; Streptophyta; Pinopsida; Pinales; Pinaceae
Source: Rfam
GUAAUGGUGUCUUUAGACACCACCUCUUAUUGGAAUGGAUUUAUUUU